UGACAGAUGAGACUUUUGUGCAAGAAAAUAAAUCCUGCACCUUUGAUGUGCUGCUUUAAACUUAAAGACCACUUUGGACCUGAAAUUGUAAGGAUUCUAUAAACCUGGAGAUUACUUAUAAAACAGAACAUCAGGGGCAAAAAGUAUUGUAGAACAAAACUGAAAACUUCAAGGAUCUUGAUGGUGUACCAAACCAGAUGUCAACUGGAGCUCGACCAAAAACUAAGGUAAGGAGCUUUAUUACAAA
RNAcentral lists this long non-coding RNA (247 nucleotides) under Ictidomys tridecemlineatus (thirteen-lined ground squirrel). RNAcentral's name for it is "lncRNA (ENSSTOG00000031575.1)". Lineage: Eukaryota; Metazoa; Chordata; Mammalia; Rodentia; Sciuridae. The record is from RNAcentral.